GCUUACGGCCAUACCACCCUGAGCACGCCCGAUCUCGUCCGAUCUCGGAAGCUAAGCAGCGUCAGGCCUGGUUAGUACUUGAAUGGGAGACCACCUGGGAAUACCAGGUGCUGUAAUCU
Molecule: ribosomal RNA, 119 nt
Filed under: Carassius auratus (goldfish)
Lineage: Eukaryota; Metazoa; Chordata; Actinopteri; Cypriniformes; Cyprinidae
Source: RNAcentral